This 583-nucleotide ribosomal RNA is filed under the name Tryblidiopsis pinastri. RNAcentral describes it as "LSU rRNA". It matches the Rfam family "Eukaryotic large subunit ribosomal RNA", at positions 66 to 663 of the family's 3401-position model. Lineage: Eukaryota; Fungi; Ascomycota; Leotiomycetes; Rhytismatales; Rhytismataceae. The record is from RNAcentral.
CAACAGGGAUUGCCUCAGUAACGGCGAGUGAAGCGGCAAGAGCUCAAAUUUGAAAGCUGGCUCCUUCGGGGCCCGCGUUGUAAUUUGUAGAGGAUGCUUCGGGUGCGGCGCUGGUCUAAGUUCUUUGGAACAAGACGUCACAGAGGGUGAGAAUCCCGUAUGCGACUGGUUGCCUGCGCCUGUGUGAAGCUCCUUCGACGAGUCGAGUUGUUUGGGAAUGCAGCUCAAAAUGGGUGGUGUACUUCAUCUAAAGCUAAAUAUUGGCCAGAGACCGAUAGCGCACAAGUAGAGUGAUCGAAAGAUGAAAAGCACUUUGGAAAGAGAGUUAAACAGUACGUGAAAUUGUUGAAAGGGAAGCGCUUGCAAUCAGACUUGCGCAGCGCCGAUCAGCCUGGGUUCUCCCUGGUGCACUCGGCGCUGUUCAGGCCAGCAUCAGUUUCGGCGGUUGGAUAAAGGCUUGGGGAACGUAGGUUGCUUCGGCGACCGUUAUAGCCCCAGGUGCAAUGCAGCCUGCUGGGACUGAGGACCGCGCUUCGGCUAGGAUGCUGGCGUAAUGGUUGUAAGCGACCCGUCUUGAAACACG